This is a non-coding RNA of Podarcis lilfordi (Lilford's wall lizard), 74 nucleotides long. NCBI's taxonomy places the organism in Eukaryota, Metazoa, Chordata, Lepidosauria, Squamata, Lacertidae. The record is from the annotation of a GenBank genome assembly.
GUAGGACCAUAGCUCAGUGGCAGAACAACUGCCUUGCACCCAAAAGGUCCCAGGUUCAAUCCCUAGUGUCUCCA